Molecule: long non-coding RNA, 1248 nt
Filed under: Anser cygnoides (Swan goose)
Lineage: Eukaryota; Metazoa; Chordata; Aves; Anseriformes; Anatidae
Description: lncRNA (ENSACDG00005005263.1)
Source: RNAcentral
AUGGGAUGGGACGGAAUGGAGGGGAGGGGAGGGGAUGGGAUGGGAAUUGGUGGUGGGUCACCUCCAGCUCUGCUCCAGGCGAGUUUUCCUCCCUGCACGCGGGGACGUGCCCUGCCUCCCCCGGGAAGCGCUGUGGGGUCAGGGCACAGCCAGCCCCUUCCCUGCAUCACCCCUUGGUGUCCGCUCACCGCAGGCCUGGUCCCGACAGCCCAGCUCUGUCCCCCCCCCGCAGGCCAGCAGCCACCUCGAGCACUGCAGCUCGUAGGCAGGAGCAGGGUCCCCUUCCCCUUCCCCUUCCCCUUCCCCUGCCCACACGCCAGCUCCCCCGACCGCGCAGCAGGGAUGCUUUGCCCCCACGUCCCGCCCAGCAGCAGGUGCGUUUUGGGGUUAAACACUGCUUUUUCAGCUUCCCCUUCCCUCUUCCUGCACGGCACCGACCCUUUUGGGGUCUGUCCCAGCUUUUCGUGUGCCGGGGUCCGGGAGGGAUCUGGCAAACACGGGAGGGAGGCGAAACGCCCCCGAGCUGUGCUGUCCCUGCUCCUGCCCGCGCUCCCUCGCUCCGCUGCGGCACCGUCCUACAAAACCCUCUGCUGCAGUAACGCACGGCUGGAAAAAAAAAAACCAACAGCCAGCCGAGCCGUGCGUGCACGCAGCGGCCCUGCCCGUAACGCCGGCUGCUUUCUGGCUCCGCACGGGGACAACUCGGAGUUAUCAUCUGCACCGGAGCCCCGCGGGCUGCCGGCCGCUGCUGCCGGAACGCGACGGCUCCGGAGCCGGGACCGGGGCUGGAUGCGGCCCCGAGGCCUCCCCUGGGCUCUCGGCUGGUGCCCAAGCGUGGGGCCGUCGAGGUUUGGGGGCUGCUUUGCUUUGGGCAAUCCGAGCCAGGACCUGACCCAUUUUUCCCAGGUCUCGGGAGAGGCUGGAUCCAGCCUCGGCUUCUCUUGUGCAAACGUUCCCUGCUUGAUCCUGGGUGCGUGUGGGAUCUGGGGCCGCGAUUCCUGGUGCGAGGGUCUCAGCACCAGCACCAGGCUGUACCCAUCCCGCUGCAGACCCCCCGGCAGCACCCCGUGCCCGCCAGCACGGCCCUGCCACCCUCCCCGUGCCCGCCGUGCCGGGGCUUUGUGCUGGAAAAAAGGAGAGCAAACGUGGGCGAGGAACGGGGGGGUGGAUGUGUACGUGCCGGUAUGGGGGGGGCACACCGCAGGGAGCCGUGGGGACGGCCCUCGCUCAGCACCACCGAGGAGCUGA